This 697-nucleotide long non-coding RNA is filed under the name Lonchura striata (white-rumped munia). RNAcentral's name for it is "domestica (Bengalese finch) lncRNA (ENSLSDG00000001876.1)". The record is from RNAcentral. Lineage: Eukaryota; Metazoa; Chordata; Aves; Passeriformes; Estrildidae.
GGCAGGCGCCGCGCCGUGGACUCGGCGCUGCGGGACGAGCGGCUGAGCUCGGAUGAGGAACUCGGAUCCGCCGGCAUCGCCUCCCUGCUGAGCGAGGCCAGCCUGCAGGCCAGCUCCUGCUGACUCCGGGAACGCGGGAAUGUGGGAAUGUGGGAAUGCGGGAAUGCCAGGAAUCUGGGAAUCCGGGAAUGCGGGAACGCGGGAAUGUGGGAAUGCGGGAAUGCCAGGAAUCCGGGAAUACCAGGAAUCCAGGAAUGCGGGAAUGUGGGAAUGCGGGAAUACCAGGAAUCCGGGAAUCCAGGAAUACCAGGAAUCCGGGAAUCCGGGAAUGCCGGAAUAUGGGAAUGCGGGAAUCCAGGAAUGCAGGAAUCCGGGAAUACCGGGAAUCUGGGAAUGCAGGAAUCCGGGAAUCCGGGAAUACCAGGAAUCCGGGAAUGCAGGAAUCCGGGAAUAUCCGGGAAUGCGGGAACGUGGGAAUGUGGGAAUGCGGGAAUCCGGGAAUGCCGGAAUCCGGGAAUACCAGGAAUCCGGGAAUACCAGGAAUCCGGGAAUGCCGGGAAUGCGGGAAUACCAGGAAUCCGGGAAUACCAGGAAUCCGGGAAUACCAGGAAUCCGGGAAUGUGGGAAUGCCGGAGUCAGCGCUGAGGCCGGGACUGGUUCCAGGAUUGCUCGUCCGGGGAUCAGCCUGGGACCGUCC